GACGGAGGAGGCUAGCGUUGUCCGGAAUGACUGGGCGUAAAGCGCAUGUAGGCGGGGCCUUAAGUCGGCGGUGAAAUUUUCCCGCUCAACGGGAAAACUGCCGCCGAAACUGAGACUCUUGAGGACAGGAGGGGAGAGCGGAAUUGCUGGUGUAGCGGUGAAAUGCGUAGAGAUCAGCAAGAACACCCGUGGCGAAGGCGGCUCUCUAGACUGUUCCUGACGCUGAGAUGCGAAAGCCAGGGGAGCGAACGGG
RNAcentral lists this ribosomal RNA (253 nucleotides) under uncultured bacterium. RNAcentral's name for it is "partial 16S ribosomal RNA". It matches the Rfam family "Bacterial small subunit ribosomal RNA", at positions 524 to 776 of the family's 1533-position model. The record is from RNAcentral.